This 253-nucleotide ribosomal RNA is filed under the name uncultured bacterium. RNAcentral describes it as "partial 16S ribosomal RNA". It matches the Rfam family "Bacterial small subunit ribosomal RNA", at positions 524 to 776 of the family's 1533-position model. The record is from RNAcentral.
UACGGAGGGUGCAAGCGUUAUCCGGAUUCAUUGGGUUUAAAGGGUGCGUAGGCUGGGCGGUAAGUCAGUGGUGAAAUCCUGCAGCUUAACUGUAGAAUUGCCAUUGAUACUGCCGUCCUUGAGUGCGCUCGACGUGGGCGGAAUGUGCCGUGUAGCGGUGAAAUGCUUAGAUAUGGCACAGAACACCGAUAGUGAAGACAGCUCACGAGGGCGUUACUGACGCUGAGGCACGGAAGCGUGGGGAUCGAACAGG